UACGAAGGGUGCAAACGUUGCUCGGAAUUAUUGGGCGUAAAGCGCACGUAGGCGGCUUUGCAAGUCGGAUGUGAAAUCCCUCGGCUUAACCAAGGAAGUGCAUCCGAAACUGCAGAGCUUGAGUACUUAAGAGGAUCGCGGAAUUCCGAGUGUAGAGGUGAAAUUCGUAGAUAUUCGGAAGAACACCAGUGGCGAAGGCGACUUACUGGACACAUAUUGACGCUGAGGUGCGAAAGCGUGGGGAGCAAACAGG
This 253-nucleotide ribosomal RNA is filed under the name uncultured bacterium. RNAcentral describes it as "partial 16S ribosomal RNA". It matches the Rfam family "Bacterial small subunit ribosomal RNA", at positions 524 to 776 of the family's 1533-position model. The record is from RNAcentral.